Long non-coding RNA from Lathyrus oleraceus (garden pea), 2287 nucleotides. RefSeq lists it as uncharacterized. Lineage: Eukaryota; Viridiplantae; Streptophyta; Magnoliopsida; Fabales; Fabaceae. The record is from RefSeq and is a predicted model, not a curated record. The transcript is spliced from 3 exons.
ACGCAAUGCUGGAGAUUAAUCACAUGAGAUAACUAACGUUAUGUUAUGGAUAAAGAACGCUAAUUUGACAAUUCCUCUAACAUUAUAGGAUUUAAUAUACAUGUUUGGACAUGUCGACGUUACGAUGAUAAAUGCCCAUAAAGGCAUGUAUGAGAUAUCUCGGCCCUAAGCGGUUUAUAUGGCUUCUCAUGGUGUAUCUUGGCCCAGACAUGUGAUGUUCCAGCGUGAGAGUCCGAACCCGCUUUAAGUUUAGAUCCAAUUCCAUAUUCCUGUACUUUGCCGCCAAUACCCGAGAUGUAGUAUUCAGAAUGUACAUAGCCCCCUUAAGAAUGAGGCCUUAAGGGGCGAAGUGCUUUAAGAGUAAUGUUGUCCUAACCGCCAAGAGAGUCCCAAAUCUACCAAGAUGUUAUACCAAGUCUUUUAUCGUUACCCUUCUCAGCAUAAAAUACAUCCCAUUUUUGGGUAAUUCGUGGUUACCGGGAUACGUUCUCUAAUCCUUAUUCCAUUCUCACUAAGAGCAGUGUAGGUCGAGAUUGAUACUGAGAUACGUUCUCUAAUUCUUAUUCCCUUCUCUCAAUCCUUCUCCUUUCAAAAAUGUGCUUAGCCUUCUCUCUCAUUCUCUAUUCAGCAGCUUUGAAUUCCUUUGUUUUUCAAGGUUGCAUCUCCCCAUCCUCCAUCCAGGUACGAUGAUUCUUUUCUUUUCUUUUUUAAUCAUUCCCUAAUUUAUUCCAAUGGUUCUGAUUCGCGAGUGUGAUGAGUGGGGGAGGGGGGUCAUUUCGCCUAAAAAUGUAACCAAGAGGCAUGCAUUGUGGCAACAGUGCGUGGAAGCUUCUAGACGCACCAUCGGGAAAGUAGAUUGAAAAUUUAUGUGGAGAGAGAGAGAGGUUUCAAUCGAGAUUGUCAUGGAGCUCCCCACCGGCUCUUUUAGUGACGAGGUUUUGAGUUACGACUAGGUUUUCCUUAAUGACCCCUAGGUGACCAGCUUCCGAGAUCAAGUGAGUUGUCUAAUACUAGGGAUAAGGUCGAUAUUAUUUUGGAGCCUUAUGUCUUAAGGGAGAAAAUUUUCAUGUGGCGGCCGCCCAGAGUAGCCGAUGAAUACUUCUUGUUAUAUUAUCUUCACCAAUGAUUUUGGCGUGGGUAUCCUAUUCUCCAUAUUUUAGUCCGAACUCCCAAAAACUCAACACCGCUCCUUCCCAACUUCAUCCUAACAACUGGGUUUUUGCUCGGGUGUUUGAGGUGAUAUGUUUUGGCCUCAAUAUCACGCCUACCAUUAACAUCUUUUUUUUUCAUUUUACGAAUCUAUAUGCCCGUAUAAGGAGGGUUGGGUCUAAGUGAAUGUCAUGCACGACCGGGCCAUCCUCUCUCCUUACAUGUAGCUAAGGGGCAACACCUAGUGUCUAGAGGUUAUCUACGAGGAAGAUGGGACGUAUUGGUUUCCUUUUCACUGGACCAGUAACCCGGUUUCAAUCAUGUGGUAUGAUCCAUACAAAUUGAGUCCCACCGAAAGAGAGGCGGUCUAGUUUUUGGAUACCUUCUCGACCAUUUGGGUGUGUGUCUUGCUCAAGUAGGAAGGAGACCUCAAUAAAUAAGAUGAACAAUGUCACAAUGGCUGAGAAGAAAUCAUUGAUGGCUUAAGCAAGAGCUCUCUACUGAGAUAUUCAUCCCAUGCCUCACAAUGAUCUCAUUGGAGUUCAAACACAGGUUGUAAAGAAGAGAAAUAAUGCAGAAGGCAUUAUAAUGAAUGACGUCCUAUUCACCAAUCAAAACACUCAUGGGACCUCCAAAUUGCCUCCUAAAAAUAAAAAUAAGGGAGAGGAAGGCAAGUCCAGUAUGGGUGACAAGACUCCAGUCCAUAUUAGGACCGACCUUUGAUAGCUCAAGUUUUGGGGUCGGCCUUUGAUGGUCUGGGUUAUUGUACAAGCAUCUUCACGCCACUCAACAUGUUGAAAAAGAUACUACCGUGGGUGCCCAAAGGAUAAAGGACGCCACUAAAAUUAGGAUUUCAUGCCACUAAAAUUAGGAUUUCUUAUCCUUGUAUAUCUUAGAAAUCCUUAAGUCUUAAAAGAGUCUAAUUGUGUUGUAUUCUGUAUACACCUCUGAUUGUGUAUCAACUAUAUUUUCCCAACAAUCAUUUAUCUGCUAGGUAGAUUGUUAGAAGUCACUUACUAAGUGUUUGAGCAUUUGGAGUCUUUUGCUUAUGUGCUUGAGCAAAUAAAUUCACUUGCUUGUGUGCUUGAGCAAAGAAGUCUUUUACUUGAGUGUUUGAGCAAAAGAAGUAUCUUGCAUG